Molecule: ribosomal RNA, 119 nt
Filed under: Lepisosteus oculatus (spotted gar)
Lineage: Eukaryota; Metazoa; Chordata; Actinopteri; Semionotiformes; Lepisosteidae
Source: RNAcentral
GCCAGCAGCCAUAUCACUCUGCAACUCAGAACUGGCAACCCACUGAAGCUAAGCAUCUGUGAACCUGGUCAGUACCUGGAUGGGAGACCUCCUGGGAAAAACUAAGGUUGCUGCUGGAA